GACGAACGCUGGCGGCGUGCUUAACACAUGCAAGUCGAACGGUAAGGCCCUUCGGGGUACACGAGUGGCGAACGGGUGAGUAACACGUGGGUGAUCUGCCCUGCACUUCGGGAUAAGCCUGGGAAACUGGGUCUAAUACCGAAUAUGAUCAUCAGCUUCAUGGUUGGUGGUGGAAAGCUUUUGCGGUGUGGGAUGGGCCCGCGGCCUAUCAGCUUGUUGGUGGGGUAAUGGCCUACCAAGGCGACGACGGGUAGCCGGCCUGAGAGGGUGACCGGCCACACUGGGACUGAGAUACGGCCCAGACGCGUACGGGAGGCAGGAGUGGGGAAUAUUGCACAAUGGGCGCAAGCCUGAUGCAGAGACGCCGCGUGAGGGAUGACGGUCUUCGGGUUGUAAACCUCUUUCAGCACAGACGAAGCGCAAGUGACGGUAUGUGCAGAAGAAGGUCCGGCCAACUACGUGCCAGCCGCCGCCGUAA
This 478-nucleotide ribosomal RNA is filed under the name uncultured bacterium. Its description in RNAcentral is "partial 16S ribosomal RNA". It matches the Rfam family "Bacterial small subunit ribosomal RNA", at positions 28 to 523 of the family's 1533-position model. The record is from RNAcentral.